GAGCCCUGCUAUAUAAAAUCCCCCACCCCCACCUAGGGUUGCCCUUCUCCCUCCACAACCGCCGCCGCCGUCGCAAACCCUCGCGCACUCGCCUCCAACCCUCCUUCUCCGCCGCCCCACCGCCGCCGUCGACAUGGGCAAGGUUCACGGAUCGCUGGCCCGUGCCGGGAAGGUCCGCGGGCAGACGCCCAAGGUCGCCAAGCAGGACAAGAAGAAGCAGCCCCGCGGCCGCGCCCACAAGAGGAUCCAGUACAACCGCCGCUUCGUCACCGCCGUCGUCGGCUUCGGCAAGAAGCGCGGCCCCAACUCCUCCGAGAAGUAGGCGCGCGCCAAGAAAAGGCUCUUCCUUUGCGCUAGUUUUCCUCUCCUUUGUUGUUACGCAAGAUUAUGAUGAUGGAAGAGACACUACUGAAGUGUUAAAGUAUGCAUUGUUUUGCUUAGUUGAAGAAUCUGAGAUACUGUGGUAUGAGUAUGCAUGUUUUGAUUAGUUGAAGAAUCUGUGAUAUUGUGGUAAUGAGUUCAUGGCUUAAAUUUGCUUGUUCUUUGUCGUUGCCCAUGAUGUGCAACAUAUGCGGC
Molecule: ribosomal RNA, 576 nt
Filed under: Triticum aestivum (bread wheat)
Lineage: Eukaryota; Viridiplantae; Streptophyta; Magnoliopsida; Poales; Poaceae
Description: partial small subunit ribosomal RNA
Source: RNAcentral